Molecule: ribosomal RNA, 442 nt
Filed under: uncultured bacterium
Lineage: Bacteria
Description: bacterial SSU rRNA
Rfam family: Bacterial small subunit ribosomal RNA
Source: RNAcentral
GAUUAACGUUGGCAGUGCGCCUAACACAUGCAAGUCGAGCGAUAUAGCGGCAGACGAGAGAGUAAUAGUAAGGAACUUACCCCCGAGUGAAGGAUAGCCAGCCGAAAGGUUGGGUAAUCCUGCAUAAUAUCGAAAGAUCAAAGCCUUCGGGCGCUUGGGGAGAGGCCUUACUCCUAUCAGCUAGUUGGUGAGGUAAAGGCUCACCAAGGCGAUGACGGGUAGCUGGUCUGAGAGGAUGAUCAGCCUCGAUGGGACUGAGACACGGCCCAUACUCCUACGGGAGGCAGCAGUUGGGGAUUUUGCACAAUGGAGGAAACUCUGAUGCAGCGACACUGCGUGAAGGAUGAAGGUUUUCGGAUCGUAAACUUCUUUUAGUGGGGAAUAAUCUUGAAGUACCCACUGAAUAAGGACCGGCUAACUACGUGCCAGCAGCCGCGGUAAU